AAAUGCUAUUAAGGAGGACCUUUGAUCAGAGCUCACACCUUAUGAGGCUUAAGAUAAGUGCUUGUAGCUUAUUAGAUGUGAGAUAAGUCAUCCUACAACACGAAUCACAGCAGCAAGUCAUCGUUUGUUCUCCUCUUCGCAGAACUACUUGUUGCUUUGGAAGAAGCCAGCUGCUUUGUAUUAUUCAGGUGGAAGAUGGAACAAAGCCAUUUUGGUCUGGAAUACAGUGGGGGCUCCAGGAGCAGAUUCACUUUCUGUGAUUUAUGGCACCAGGGAGAGCUGGAUUUUGUGUCCUGAGGUGCCACUAGAAGGGUCUUCAGGAGUUUAUGAAACCUCCAGCACGCCUGACUUUGAGGUGCUUUUCUGCUGGAUGUGCUCUACCUCACUGCUUUGCCAUGAAACACUAGGGAUUUGGGGGCUGUCUCUGGGCAGCUUCCAAGGCUUUAGAGUCCCUGUGUUUUACAGGCAACCCAUGAAGCUUGUGUGGUGCCCCAGUUUUGAUGGAGAAAUAUGACCCUCACGCACUGCCUGCAGCUCAGGACAGGAUGGCCA
This is a long non-coding RNA of Gallus gallus (chicken), 552 nucleotides long. Lineage: Eukaryota; Metazoa; Chordata; Aves; Galliformes; Phasianidae. The record is from Ensembl.